This 465-nucleotide ribosomal RNA is filed under the name uncultured bacterium. RNAcentral describes it as "partial 16S ribosomal RNA". It matches the Rfam family "Bacterial small subunit ribosomal RNA", at positions 28 to 507 of the family's 1533-position model. The record is from RNAcentral.
GACGAACGCUGGCGGCGUGCUUAACACAUGCAAGUCGUACGGUAAGGCCCUUUCGGGGGUACACGAGUGGCGAACGGGUGAGUAACACGUGAGUAACCUGCCCACAACUUUGGGAUAACGCUAGGAAACUGGUGCUAAUACUGGAUAUGUGCUCCUGCUUCAUGGUGGGGGUUGGAAAGCUCCGGCGGUUGUGGAUGGACUCGCGGCCUAUCAGCUUGUUGGGGGGGUAGUGGACUACCAAGGCGGCGACGGGUAGCCGGCCUGAGAGGGUGACCGGCCACAUUGGGACUGAGAUACGGCCCAGACUCCUACGGGAGGCAGAAGUGGGGAAUAUUGCACAAUGGGCGCAAGCCGGAUGCAGCAACGCCGCGUGCGGGAUGACGGCCUUCGGGUUGUAAACCGCUUUCAGCAGGGACGAAGCUUUUUGUGACGGUACCUGCAGAAGAAGCACCGGCUAACUACGUG